Molecule: ribosomal RNA, 408 nt
Filed under: uncultured bacterium
Lineage: Bacteria
Description: bacterial SSU rRNA
Rfam family: Bacterial small subunit ribosomal RNA
Source: RNAcentral
UGGGGAAUAUUGCACAAUGGGCGAAAGCCUGAUGCAGCGACGCCACGUGAGGGAUGACGGCCUUCGGGUUGUAAACCUCUUUCAGCAGGGAAGAAGCGCAAGUGACGGUACCUGCAGAAGAAGCGCCGGCUAACUACGUGCCAGCAGCCGCGGUAAUACGUAGGGCGCAAGCGUUGUCCGGAAUUAUUGGGCGUAAAGAGCUCGUAGGCGGUCUGUCGCGUCUGGUGUGAAAUCCCAUGGCUCAACUGUGGGCUUGCAUCGGGUACGGGCAGACUAGAGUGCUGUAGGGGAGACUGGAAUUCCUGGUGUAGCGGUGGAAUGCGCAGAUAUCAGGAGGAACACCGAUGGCGAAGGCAGGUCUCUGGGCAGUUACUGACGCUGAGGAGCGAAAGCAUGGGGAGCGAACAG